RNAcentral lists this ribosomal RNA (301 nucleotides) under uncultured bacterium. RNAcentral describes it as "partial 16S ribosomal RNA". It matches the Rfam family "Bacterial small subunit ribosomal RNA", at positions 509 to 808 of the family's 1533-position model. The record is from RNAcentral.
CAGCAGCCGCGGUAAUACGUAGGUCCCGAGCGUUGUCCGGAUUUAUUGGGCGUAAAGGGAGCGCAGGCGGUUUAGUAAGUCUGAAGUUAAAGGCAUUGGCUCAACCAAUGUAUGCUUUGGAAACUGUUAGACUUGAGUGCAGAAGGGGAGAGUGGAAUUCCAUGUGUAGCGGUGAAAUGCGUAGAUAUAUGGAGGAACACCGGUGGCGAAAGCGGCUCUCUGGUCUGUCACUGACGCUGAGGCUCGAAAGCGUGGGUAGCGAACAGGAUUAGAUACCCGUGUAGUCCCUGUCUCUUAUACA